Molecule: small nuclear RNA, 107 nt
Organism: Chlorocebus sabaeus (green monkey)
Lineage: Eukaryota; Metazoa; Chordata; Mammalia; Primates; Cercopithecidae
Source: Ensembl
GUGCUCACUACAGCAGCACAUAUACUAAAAUUCGAACAAUACAGAGAAGAUUAGCAUGGCCCCUGAACAAGGAUGACAUGCAAAUUCAUGAAAUGUUCCAUAUUCUU